Molecule: ribosomal RNA, 498 nt
Filed under: uncultured bacterium
Lineage: Bacteria
Description: partial 16S ribosomal RNA
Rfam family: Bacterial small subunit ribosomal RNA
Source: RNAcentral
AUUGAACGCUGGCGGAAUGCUUUACACAUGCAAGUCGAACGGCAGCACGGACUUCGGUCUGGUGGCGAGUGGCGAACGGGUGAGUAAUGUAUCGGAACGUGCCCAGUCGUGGGGGAUAACGUAGUGAAAAUUACGCUAAUACCGCAUACGAUCUAUGGAUGAAAGCGGGGGAUCGCAAGACCUCGCGCGAUUGGAGCGGCCGAUAUCAGAUUAGGUAGUUGGUGGGGUAAAGGCCACCAAGCCAACGAUCUGUAGCUGGUCUGAGAGGACGACCAGCCACACUGGAACUGAGACACGGUCCAGACUCCUACGGGAGGCAGCAGUGGGGAAUUUUGGACAAUGGGCGAAAGCCUGAUCCAGCCAUUCCGCGUGCAGGAUGAAGGCCCUCGGGUUGUAAACUGCUUUUGUACAGAACGAAAAGGUUUCUACUAAUACUAGGAGCUCAUGACGGUACUGUAAGAAUAAGCACCGGCUAACUACGUGCAGCAGCCGCCGUAA